Ceratobasidium sp. 414 is the source of this 94-nucleotide non-coding RNA. NCBI's taxonomy places the organism in Eukaryota, Fungi, Basidiomycota, Agaricomycetes, Cantharellales, Ceratobasidiaceae. The record is from the annotation of a GenBank genome assembly.
GCCGCGGUAGCUCAGUUGGGAGAGCGUUAGACUGAAGCCGGUUUCUACAUACCCGCACAUCUACAGGUCACCCGUUCAAGCCGGGUUCGUGGCA